RNAcentral lists this ribosomal RNA (497 nucleotides) under uncultured bacterium. Its description in RNAcentral is "partial 16S ribosomal RNA". It matches the Rfam family "Bacterial small subunit ribosomal RNA", at positions 28 to 507 of the family's 1533-position model. The record is from RNAcentral.
GAUGAACGCUGGCGGCGUGCCUAAUACAUGCAAGUCGAGCGAACAGACGAGGAGCUUGCUCCUCUGACGUUAGCGGCGGACGGGUGAGUAACACGUGGAUAACCUACCUAUAAGACUGGGAUAACUUCGGGAAACCGGAGCUAAUACCGGAUAAUAUAUUGAACCGCAUGGUUCAAUAGUGAAAGACGGUUUUGCUGUCACUUAUAGAUGUAUCCGCGCCGCAUUAGCUAGUUGGUAAGGUAACGGCUUACCAAGGCGACGAUGCGUAGCCGACCUGAGAGGGUGAGCGGCCACACUGGAACUGAGACACGGUCCAGACUCCUACGGGAGGCAGCAGUAGGGAAUCUUCCGCAAGGGGCGAAAGCCUGACGGAGCAACGCCGCGUGAGUGAUGAAGGUCUUCGGAUCGUAAAACUCUGUUAUUAGGGAAGAACAAAUGUGUAAGUAACUAUGCACGUCUUGACGGUACCUAAUCAGAAAGCCACGGCUAACUACGUG